AUACGGAGGACGCGAGCGUUAUCCGGAUUCAUUAGGUUUAAAGGGUGCGCAGGCGGCCGUGCAAGUCAGCGGUGAGAGCCCGGGGCUCAACCCCGGAAGUGCCGUUGAUACUGCAUGGCUGGAAUGCGGUCGAGGCGGGCGGGAAGUGGCGUGUAGCGGGGGAAAGCGUAGAUAUGCCACAGAACGCCGAUAGCGGAGGCAGCUCGCCAGGCCUGCAUGGACGCUCGGGCACGAAAGCGUGGGGAUCGAACAGGAUUAGAUACCCUGGUAGUCCACGCCGUAAACGAUGGGCGCUCGUCGUCGGCGGCAGACAGUCGGCGGCCAAGCGAAAGCGAUAAGCGCCCCACCUGGGGAGUACGGUCGCAAGGCUGAAACUCAAAUGAAUUGACGGGG
This 393-nucleotide ribosomal RNA is filed under the name uncultured bacterium. RNAcentral describes it as "partial 16S ribosomal RNA". It matches the Rfam family "Bacterial small subunit ribosomal RNA", at positions 523 to 918 of the family's 1533-position model. The record is from RNAcentral.